AAAGAAUAAAAAGAGGAAAGAAACAGAAUAGCAGGGGACGAAACAGAGAAGGGAGAAAGGAAGAAAAGAAAAAGGGAAAAAUAAGGUUUUAAAGGUUCCAAGUUAAUUUGGUAAGUCAAUUUAGCCCCUUUUCUUAUGAUUUUUGAGUUUUUGGAAUCCUAGAGAUAAAUACUAUUUGUUUUAAGUAGAAAUUUUGAAAGUCAUUAGAUUUCUAAGUAUGGUUCAUGUUGAAUAAAAUGAUGGAAUUGGGGGUUUAUUUGAUAGAAAUUUUGAUUGGAAUUGAAUAAAGGAUUGAAUCGUAAACUAAGCUAUAAGUUUUGAGUUUUAGGGAUUAAAUGGAAAUAAAUUCAAAAUUAUGAAAAUAUGCUGGAAAUUUAAUAGUUAAGUAUGAGUUUGGACAAAAUUUGAAUAGAAAUGAAAUAUGAAUUGAGAUAGAAAAAGUAAGUAAAUCUAGUUAAGAUUAAAUUGAAAUUAAAGUAGAAAUUGAAUAAAAAUUGUAUUAAUUAGAUACAAAUUAGUAGUGAAUUAACGAAUAUGAAUUGUUUUAAUUCCCGUAGCUAAUGUUGUCUCGGGAAACCUCGGCUAAGCAAGGAAAAAAAAUGGCAAAGACAAAGGGAGUUAGCUCGAAAAAAUACGGUUUGUAUUUCUAUAAUCCGAACUUAGUUAUUAAUUGUUAUAUUUUUUUUAUUCAAUGCAUUUAAUAAAUGUUGAAGUGAGAAUUAUUGUGUUUAUAAUGGAAAUGGAUUAAUUUGGUAUGUGAUGAAUUUAUAUUGAUUGAAUUAAAUUGAAUUAUAUAUUAUAAAUAUAUAUAUGUGUGUGUGUGUGUGUGAAUGAGAUAUUAUGCAAUUAUGAUAAUUGAAUUUUGGAUAAAUAUUAUGAUAAAUAAUUAAGAUGGGAAUUAUUUGUAUUGUGUCUUUAUAAUUGAAAUGAAUUGAUUUAGUGUGUGAUAAAUUUAUAUUGAAUUGAUUUAUGAAUAUCUGUUUUAUUGAAUUUAUAUUGAUUGAAAUUAUUUUGAUUGAAUUUAUAUUGAUUGAAUUAUAUAAUAUAUAUGAGAUUGUGAUAUUUGAAUAUUUGAUAUUGAAAAAUGAAUUGAAUUGUAUUGAAUUAUGAAUUAAUGUGAAUAAUUGAAAUAUAUUGUUGAAUUGAAUGAAAUUGUAUGAAUUGUGAAAAUGGGUAAAUAUAUGUAAUUUUCUGAAUGAGAUAUUGAUGAAAGAAUUAUUAAAUUGAGAAAGUGAAUGAAAUACCCUAUUAACUAAUCGGGCUAAGUCGGAUAUAAUUGGCAUGCCAUAGGAUCUGAAAGUGUACGGGAUUUGCCGGCUUUAUCGAUCAGGCACUUUAUGUGUCGUAUUUUAGGCACCUCGUGUGUCGUUUUAGGCACUUUAUGUGUCGUAUACUGAUCAGGUACUGUGUACCGUUUUAGGCGCAAUGUGCCGUACUGGUGUGUUUGGGUUGGAAUCCGUGUAUCCAUCAAAGUCCGGGUUUGUUAAUAGGGGUAAAUAAGUGAAAAGAUAAAUCGAGUGAAUUUGAUUGAUUGAACUAUUGGAAUGAAAUGAGAAAUUGAAUUGAGAAUUGAAAUUGAGAAUUGAAAUUGAGAUAUGAGAUUGAAAACAUGAACCAAAAGGUUCAUGAAAUGAGUGAAGUUCAAAUGGAUAAUGAUUGAUGUUAGAAUCAAUUAAAAUGGUAUGUUGUUAAGAAGUAAAGUGUGAAUACAAGUGAAUUGUGAAUAUAUUGAAAGAAUUUAUACAGCAAGCAAAUGAAAAGAAUUGAGCAAAUAUGUUGUUGUGUUUGUUAUAUGGCUUGUAUAGAAUUUUUAUGGUAAGUAAAUGAAACUUAUCUAUAAAAUAAAUAAAUGAAUGGUUAUAUUUAUCAUUGUGAUUUUAAGUUUAAUUGUUAUAUUAUCAAGUGUUCGGAUUAUAGAAAUACCACUGAGUAUACCAUACUCAGCGUACGGUUUGUUUCCGUGCGCAGGUUAAGUAAAGAUAGUACGUUGAAUCAGCAUCCCAGUCCGAUCCCAAAUUCAUUAAGGUAAAGUGUGUUAAUUAUUGGUAAUGGCAUGUACCUAGGAUGUCUUAUGUGUAUGUCAUUUUGAAAUUGUAAAUGUAAGGAUAAAAUAAAUAAAUUUAAAUUUGGCUAUGGUAUAAAAUAGGAUUUGACUAAUUUGGUAUGAAUUUGAAUUUUUGUGAGACAAUGUUAGAAUGAAUUCGGGUUCCCCUGUUCUGACUUUGAAAAAUCAUAAAAACUUGUAUAAAAAUAAUUACAGGCUAUAAUUUAUAUGCUUAAAACCUUUAAUGAGUCUAUUUUCAAUAAAAAUAAACGGGAACAUCAUCUAAGUUCUGUGCUAUGAGAUAAUUAAAUUUUAGUAAAGAAAGGUCGAAACUGUCAAACAGCAGA
Molecule: long non-coding RNA, 2391 nt
Filed under: Gossypium barbadense (sea-island cotton)
Lineage: Eukaryota; Viridiplantae; Streptophyta; Magnoliopsida; Malvales; Malvaceae
Description: long non-coding RNA (GBAR_LNC012901)
Source: RNAcentral